CCCAAUCCGCAAAUAUGAAUAUAACACUCCUCAAAAUAAUUCAAUAUACAACCAACUCCAAAGAUCAACAUCCUCAACAAAAAUACUGAAUUUUACUCAAGAUAUUUCUAGAGUCUCAAAAGAUAAUAUUAUAACUAGUAUUAUUAUCUCAGUUUAUUCUUAAUCCCAAAAUAAUAAUAUAACAAAAUUAUACAAUCCCAAAAGAACGAGAUAACCAAGAUGUCCUAAUAAAAUCAUCUAUAUCUUCUAACACCAUCACGUGGCCAAAACUCAAAAUAUAUUUACAGUCGCUGGGUCGAUCUGGUGUACCUGCAACCUCCUGGUGGGGGGGAAAAUAUAAUAAAAGCAUAAUGAGUAUAAAACUCAGUGAGAUCGGUGAGUGGAUAGUAGUUUUUGAAAAUUAAUUCUUACUUUAAAAGAAAUAAUCAUAUCAUUUCCAAACACGAUUUCAUCAAACCAUAUGCGAGAAACCAGUAAUAAAUCAUUUAACAUUUAAAUCAUAUUACUAACCAUGAAAAACAUAUAUAAUAUCGUACUAAAUAACCAUGCAAAUCAUAUCACAAUAUCAUAUAGAAUACACAAAUCGGAAAAUCAUCACCAAACAAGUACUCAGGGAAAUAAUCUUGUCAUAUCCGGACCUCAACGGACAGGCAAUGACGUACUAUCUGGGUACCGUCACACCCCGGAGCUACACGGAUAGAUAGGGAAAUACCAUCUCAUAUCUCAUCAUAUCGCAUCAUAUAUGUGCAUACAUAAUCUAGUCCCCAAAGGACAAAAGCGCCCAAGUACACGGCCCAAAGCCUUUGUGUGUGCUCAGACAGGCCCCAAAGGCAUGUAUCUCAUUUGUAUCAUAUGUGUCAUAUGUAUCUCAAUAUCUGUCUGUAUCUCAUAUAUGUAUCUUUGUAAUCAUCAUACCGCAUGCAUAUGCCCCCAAAAGGCAAAGGCGCCCAAACACACGACCCAAAGCCUCUAUGUGUGUUCAGACGGGCCCCAAAGGCCUCUAUCUCAUCUCAUCUGUAUCACUGUAUCUGGAGGGAGGGGUACUGUCCAAUGAUUUUAAAAACAAUCUCUAUACUCAUAUUCAUAUAUAUUUUAAUCAUACUUUAAAUCAUACAUUUCUUUUCAUUAUCACAUCUAAAUCCACUUUUCUCAUCUUUAAAAUUCUAUCAUAUUUCAUUCAAAGUCGACACGGAAAACCAUUGACCAAACAUUUUAAUAUAAUAUCAAUGCGUGUAUAAAAUCCAUUUCAAGGAAAUCAUUAAAUCAGAACAUUUAAAAAACUUAUUUCUCAAACAUGCUUUACUAUCAUAAUUAACUAUGAAAAUAGAUUUUGUAUAUUCCACUCACAGUGACGGUGUUCACGCUCGGUUAUCGUCCAUGUCCGUGGACCGGUUCUCGCUCGCAGAUCCUCCUAAAUCAAGGAAACGACAUAAUUAUUUUCCGUAAAUCAGAAUUACGACUAAAUUUUAUGCAAUAAACUCGAAACGAACAUCUAUCCAUAAUUUACAACUCCCAUGUCGAUAAAAUUACUAAAAUACUCUCGUACCCGUAAAUCGUUAAAAUACUUUGAAAUCGGAAGUCACCGAAUUACCCUCGGAAUCAUAAUUAUACCCAAUCCUCAAUUUCAUAAAUUACUAAAAUAUCCACAGGCUCAUAAAUUACAAAAUUGCCCUCAUAGUGUGAAAUUACCGAAAUGCCCUUGCCGAUCAACGGUCACCGGAAUUUAGUCAACGCUGGCCGGGAAGCUCAAGUCUGAAAUUUCCAAUCACGCUGAGUCUAAUAAUGCCAGCGGUGAGCUCCCACGCACGGCAACGAUGCCAAAAUCUAGCACGAUAGCCGUGAAUUUCCCACAAUUGACCGGCGGUGAAACAAUGACUCCCGGUGGCUAUGGAUGGUCGGAAAUGGAAGAGGGAGUCGUGGGGAACAAAAUCCAACCGGUGGUGUCACCCAAAAACGAUGAAAAUCUCGGCGGAGCAAAGUGAAACAGUCGCGGGUUUUCAAGCUUUGGUCGCCGACGUUCUGGCUAUUUUUCGGCGACGUGGACGGUAGGGGUAUGAUGGCCGGUCUUCAAGCUUCAGAUUGGUGCCAAGCUUGACUGGUGGGGUGUUCGGAAUCGAAAGAUAUGGCCGGGUCAAACGAGUCGGGUUUUUGGGUCUGUAGUUGGGUCGGUUUGGCAACUUCCCUUCUCUCUCUCACGUGUGAGUAUAUUCCCCUGUUUCCAGCUCUUUUCUUU
This 2233-nucleotide long non-coding RNA is filed under the name Citrus maxima (pomelo). Its description in RNAcentral is "long non-coding RNA (CMAX_LNC003427)". Lineage: Eukaryota; Viridiplantae; Streptophyta; Magnoliopsida; Sapindales; Rutaceae. The record is from RNAcentral.